Molecule: ribosomal RNA, 395 nt
Filed under: uncultured bacterium
Lineage: Bacteria
Description: bacterial SSU rRNA
Rfam family: Bacterial small subunit ribosomal RNA
Source: RNAcentral
AGCGAACGCUGGCGGUAUGCUUAACACAUGCAAGUCGAGCGCGAAAGUGACUUCGGUCAUAAGUAGAGCGGCGGACGGGUGAGUAACACGUGGAUAAUCUGCCUUUAGGACUGGGAUAACCCUGGGAAACUAGGGCUAAUACCGGAUAAGACCACAGGUUCCAUGGAACCAGGGGUAAAAGGCGGCCUUCGGGCUGUCGCCGAAAGAUGAGUCCGCGUCCCAUCAGGUAGUUGGUGAGGUAACGGCUCACCAAGCCGAAGACGGGUAGCCGACCUUAGCGGGUGAUCGGCCACACGGGGGACUGAGACACGGCCCCGACUCCUACGGGAGGCAGCAGUGGGGAAUCUUGGGCAAUGGGCGCAAGCCUGACCCAGCAAUACCGCGUGAGGGAUGAA